GAUGAACGCUGGCGGCGUGCCUAAUACAUGCCAGUCGAGCGAACAGACGAGGAGCUUGCUCCUCUGACGUUAGCGGCGGACGGGUGAGUAACACGUGGAUAACCUACCUAUAAGACUGGGAUAACUUCGGGAAACCGGAGCUAAUACCGGAUAAUAUAUUGAACCGCAUGGUUCAAUAGUGAAAGACGGUUUUGCUGUCACUUAUAGAUGGAUCCGCGCCGCAUUAGCUAGUUGGUAAGGUAACGGCUUACCAAGGCGACGAUGCGUAGCCGACCUGAGAGGGUGAUCGGCCACCCUGGAACUGAGCCACGGUCCAGACUCCUACGGGAGGCAGCAGUAGGGAAUCUUCCGCAAUGGGCGAAAGCCUGACGGAGCAACGCCGCGUGAGUGAUGAAGGUCUUCGGAUCGUAAAACUCUGUUAUUAGGGAAGAACAAAUGUGUAAGUAACUAUGCACGUCUUGACGGUACCUAAUCAGAAAGCCACGGCUAACUACGUG
RNAcentral lists this ribosomal RNA (497 nucleotides) under uncultured bacterium. RNAcentral describes it as "partial 16S ribosomal RNA". It matches the Rfam family "Bacterial small subunit ribosomal RNA", at positions 28 to 507 of the family's 1533-position model. The record is from RNAcentral.